UACGUAGGUGGCAAGCGUUGUUCGGAAUCACUGGGCGUAAAGCGCACGUAGGCGGAUCUUUAAGUCAGGGGUGAAAUCCCGAGGCUCAACCUCGGAACUGCCUUUGAUACUGGGGAUCUCGAGUCCGGGAGAGGUGAGUGGAACUGCGAGUGUAGAGGUGAAAUUCGUAGAUAUUCGCAAGAACACCAGUGGCGAAGGCGGCUCACUGGCCCGGUACUGACGCUGAGGUGCGAAAGCGUGGGGAGCAAACAGG
This 253-nucleotide ribosomal RNA is filed under the name uncultured bacterium. RNAcentral's name for it is "partial 16S ribosomal RNA". It matches the Rfam family "Bacterial small subunit ribosomal RNA", at positions 524 to 776 of the family's 1533-position model. The record is from RNAcentral.